RNAcentral lists this ribosomal RNA (258 nucleotides) under uncultured bacterium. Its description in RNAcentral is "partial 16S ribosomal RNA". It matches the Rfam family "Bacterial small subunit ribosomal RNA", at positions 793 to 1055 of the family's 1533-position model. The record is from RNAcentral.
GUCCACGCAGUAACGAUGAUUACUAGCUGUUGGCGAUAGAAUGUCAGUGGCUAAGCGAAAGCGAUAAGUAAUCCACCUGGGGAGUACGUUCGCAAGAAUGAAACUCAAAGGAAUUGACGGGGGCCCGCACAAGCGGAGGAACAUGUGGUUUAAUUCGAUGAUACGCGAGGAACCUUACCCGGGCUUGAAAUGCAUCUGACGAACUUGGAAACAGGUUUUCUAGCAAUAGCAGAUGUGUAGGUGCUGCAUGGUUGUCGU